GCCUUUGUAGUAUAAGAUAAUACACUGGUCUUGUAAACCAGAAAUGGAGAAUUAAUCCUCCCUAAGACA
Molecule: transfer RNA, 69 nt
Filed under: Pseudosoriculus fumidus (Taiwan brown-toothed shrew)
Lineage: Eukaryota; Metazoa; Chordata; Mammalia; Eulipotyphla; Soricidae
Description: tRNA-Thr
Rfam family: tRNA
About the family: Transfer RNA (tRNA) molecules are approximately 80 nucleotides in length.
Source: RNAcentral